This 1112-nucleotide long non-coding RNA is filed under the name Rattus norvegicus (Norway rat). RNAcentral's name for it is "long non-coding RNA NONRATT002167". Lineage: Eukaryota; Metazoa; Chordata; Mammalia; Rodentia; Muridae. The record is from RNAcentral.
CAGUAUGUCAGUAGGUGGGAUGAAAGAGAAAAGCCACUGGAAAUGGGUUGAAGAACAUUCGGAUGGGCAGUCCAUGUUGAAUAUGGAGAACAGGCGAGGCCUACCAUGUCAGCGGGACUGGCCUUGUGGCCAGGAGUCCUGAAAGCUGGUCAGGGGCAAUUGGGGGACAAAGUGACUCUUUACCAUAUGAACCCCAGGAGGAAAGGGGGCAAGAAUAGCUCUGAGGAGCAGGACCUUCAGCCUCUGUUGAUUGUUGUCUUUUUACAUGCAGUCAUCUGGGGAGAGAAAUGGAGGGGAAUGCAGAAAUUAGGGCUUUCGCUAAUCGAAAGCCAUAGCAAGCAUUCUGGAGGACUGGGUUCUGGGCUCUGUGGCUCUCCCCGGCCCUGCAGGUGGUAAGGCUCUGGGCCUUACUCUCUCUCAUCAGGUACAGGGGUCACUGUGUGGUGUCCAUUGUUCUCACUGCCUGUAUGGCUGAGGAGCUUGCCACAGUGGUUCAUCUUUCAGUCCUGAUUCCUUGCUGUGUCUUCUCAGUGCCCUUUGGUCAAAGACUUUACUGUCUCAUGUGAUGGCAAGAAGUCCUGAAAAUAGAAAGUGAAAAUUGUAUACAUGUAUGGCAGAGCAUGGUGUUCUGAUAUGUGUGACAGCAGGUUACUUGUGAAGUGAUGUGCACAUUUGGGAUGUUUUAUUUGGUGACUAAAAAAAUGUAGUGUAUGCAUCCCUGUAAGAAGGGGCUUCGGGUUCACCCAAUUUACAACCACAGGUUCAGUUAGGCUGUAGCGGGUGGCAUUGUUGGAAUUAGGAUGUUAAAGUGCGAAGACACUAAGAUACAUUAAACGUGAUGUGUCGCACUGAUGAAACACUUCAACUUUUCUCUGCCUUUCAUGCUGCAUAAGGAUUUCCAGAUGAUCUGCUGAGGUAAGGAGUGGAGACCAAGGGGAUUGAUUGCAAGCUGAUGCCCACAAAUUUCUAUUGGGAUUUCAACAUUGAAGAUGUCCUGAGCUGCUGUUGUUACUUUUUUAAAGUGUAUUUGGUAAUGCCCAUUAGAAACUUAAAUUUUAGGAUAAAAUUAGGAUUAAAUUCUAGUUCUAGCUUUGAACUUGCUGUAUGGUUGA